CCUACGGGUGGCAGCAGUGGGGAAUAUUGCACAAUGGGCGCGAGCCUGAACCAGCCAAGUCGCGUGAGGGAAGACGGUCCUAUGGAUUGUAAACCUCUUUUGUCGGGGAGCAAAAGACGCCACGCGUGGCGUUCCGAGAGUACCCGAAGAAAAAGCAUCGGCUAACUCCGUGCCAGCAGCCGCGGUAAUACGGAGGAUGCGAGCGUUAUCCGGAUUUAUUGGGUUUAAAGGGUGCGCAGGCGGAAGAUCAAGUCAGCGGUAAAAUUGAGAGGCUCAACCUCUUCGAGCCGUUGAAACUGGUUGUCUUGAGUGAGCGAGAAGUAUGCGGAAUGCGUGGUGUAGCGGUGAAAUGCAUAGAUAUCACGCAGAACUCCGAUUGCGAAGGCAGCAUACCGGCGCUCAACUGACGCUCAUGCACGAAAGUGUGGGUAUCGAACAGGAUUAGAUACCCUAGUAGUC
This 459-nucleotide ribosomal RNA is filed under the name uncultured bacterium. RNAcentral describes it as "partial 16S ribosomal RNA". It matches the Rfam family "Bacterial small subunit ribosomal RNA", at positions 338 to 795 of the family's 1533-position model. The record is from RNAcentral.